ACAUCCAGAGAACUUUCCAGAGAUGGAUUGGUGCCUUCGGGAACUCUGAGACAGGUGCUGCAUGGCUGUCGUCAGCUCGUGUUGUGAAAUGUUGGGUUAAGUCCCGCAACGAGCGCAACCCUUAUCCUUUGUUGCCAGCGGUCCGGCCGGGAACUCAAAGGAGACUGCCAGUGAUAAACUGGAGGAAGGUGGGGAUGACGUCAAGUCAUCAUGGCCCUUACGAGUAGGGCUACACACGUGCUACAAUGGCGCAUACAAAGAGAAGCGACCUCGCGAGAGCAAGCGGACCUCAUAAAGUGCGUCGUAGUCCGGAUUGGAGUCUGCAACUCGACUCCAUGAAGUCGGAAUCGCUAGUAAUCGUAGAUCAGAAUGCUACGGUGAAUACGUUCCCGGGCCUUGUACACACCGCCCGUCACACCAUGGGAGUGGGUUGCAAAAGAAGUAGGUAGCUUAACCUUCGGGAGGGCGCUUACCACUUUGUGAUUCAUGACUGGGGUGAAGUCGUAACAAGGUAGGCGUAGACGU
RNAcentral lists this ribosomal RNA (525 nucleotides) under uncultured bacterium. Its description in RNAcentral is "bacterial SSU rRNA". It matches the Rfam family "Bacterial small subunit ribosomal RNA", at positions 984 to 1509 of the family's 1533-position model. The record is from RNAcentral.